Carassius auratus (goldfish) is the source of this 651-nucleotide long non-coding RNA. RefSeq lists it as uncharacterized. The transcript has 4 exons. Lineage: Eukaryota; Metazoa; Chordata; Actinopteri; Cypriniformes; Cyprinidae. The record is from RefSeq and is a predicted model, not a curated record.
AACAAUCCCAUCAGCAACCAGACUCAACAUCUGGACAUCACUCAGCUCUGUCACACAUGUUCAGAUCAGGGCCUAUCUUUAUUCUACAUAGUGUUGAUCUCUGCUGGAUCUCUGUUGAUUGUAGCUGCAGUCGUGAUCUUCUGCAUCUGCAAGAAAUGUAGAAAAACAGGUCAGAAAAUUGUGAUCCAGGAGAUAUACACAGCUGGUUUUAAACCAACAUCUCGAAUAAUGAAAUCUGAGGAGCCUGUGUAUGGAAAAUAUCAUCAUAAACAAUCAGUGAUUAUCAAAUAUCAGAGUUCACGUGGAUGUUUUUCUUUUCUUUUUCUUUUUCUUCUGUUACUGUUAUUUGCUGAAAUGUUGCUGCUCUGUUUUAGUUUAAUUUUGCGGUUUAAUGAAUAGCACAGCAUCCAUUAACUCAAAAUGUUCUACUUUUCACCACACGGAAAUGUAAUAACUUCAUAACUUCAUCACACACAAUAUCAAUAUGCUCUGAUGGAUAUUUUGGCAAAUUUAGAAUCAUUCGUUUCGAACCAGUGAUUCGGAGCACGUACCAAAAGUCACAUUAUUAUUAUUAUUGAUAUUAAUGGAACAAUUUUAGAUGAACAGAAAUGGAUCAUAAAAAAAAAAAAAAAAGACACAAUAAUGUACCAG